This 1469-nucleotide ribosomal RNA is filed under the name uncultured organism. RNAcentral describes it as "SSU rRNA". It matches the Rfam family "Bacterial small subunit ribosomal RNA". The record is from RNAcentral.
GGCGUGCCUAAUACAUGCAAGUCGAGCGAACAGACGAGGAGCUUGCUCCUUUGACGUUAGCGGCGGACGGGUGAGUAACACGUGGAUAACCUACCUAUAAGACUGGGAUAACUUCGGGAAACCGGAGCUAAUACCGGAUAACAUGUUGAACCGCAUGGUUCAACAGUGAAAGACGGUCUUGCUGUCACUUAUAGAUGGAUCCGCGCCGCAUUAGCUAGUUGGUAAGGUAACGGCUUACCAAGGCAACGAUGCGUAGCCGACCUGAGAGGGUGAUCGGCCACACUGGAACUGAGACACGGUCCAGACUCCUACGGGAGGCAGCAGUAGGGAAUCUUCCGCAAUGGGCGAAAGCCUGACGGAGCAACGCCGCGUGAGUGAAGAAGGUCUUCGGAUCGUAAAACUCUGUUAUUAGGGAAGAACAAAUGUGUAAGUAACUAUGCACGUCUUGACGGUACCUAAUCAGAAAGCCACGGCUAACUACGUGCCAGCAGCCGCGGUAAUACGUAGGUGGCAAGCGUUAUCCGGAAUUAUUGGGCGUAAAGCGCGCGUAGGCGGUUUUUUAAGUCUGAUGUGAAAGCCCACGGCUCAACCGUGGAGGGUCAUUGGAAACUGGAAAACUUGAGUGCAGAAGAGGAAAGUGGAAUUCCAUGUGUAGCGGUGAAAUGCGCAGAGAUAUGGAGGAACACCAGUGGCGAAGGCGACUUUCUGGUCUGUAACUGACGCUGAUGUGCGAAAGCGUGGGGAUCAAACAGGAUUAGAUACCCUGGUAGUCCACGCCGUAAACGAUGAGUGCUAAGUGUUAGGGGGUUUCCGCCCCUUAGUGCUGCAGCUAACGCAUUAAGCACUCCGCCUGGGGAGUACGACCGCAAGGUUGAAACUCAAAGGAAUUGACGGGGACCCGUACAAGCGGUGGAGCAUGUGGUUUAAUUCGAAGCAACGCGAAGAACCUUACCAAAUCUUGACAUCCUCUGACCCCUCUAGAGAUAGAGUUUUCCCCUUCGGGGGACAGAGUGACAGGUGGUGCAUGGUUGUCGUCAGCUCGUGUCGUGAGAUGUUGGGUUAAGUCCCGCAACGAGCGCAACCCUUAAGCUUAGUUGCCAUCAUUAAGUUGGGCACUCUAAGUUGACUGCCGGUGACAAACCGGAGGAAGGUGGGGAUGACGUCAAAUCAUCAUGCCCCUUAUGAUUUGGGCUACACACGUGCUACAAUGGACAAUACAAAGGGUAGCGAAACCGCGAGGUCAAGCAAAUCCCAUAAAGUUGUUCUCAGUUCGGAUUGUAGUCUGCAACUCGACUACAUGAAGCUGGAAUCGCUAGUAAUCGUGGAUCAGCAUGCUACGGUGAAUACGUUCCCGGGUCUUGUACACACCGCCCGUCACACCACGAGAGUUUGUAACACCCGAAGCCGGUGGAGUAACCUUUUGGAGCUAGCCGUCGAAGGUGGGACAAAUGAUUGGGGUGAAGUCAUAA